This is a long non-coding RNA of Cyprinus carpio carpio, 912 nucleotides long. Lineage: Eukaryota; Metazoa; Chordata; Actinopteri; Cypriniformes; Cyprinidae. The record is from Ensembl.
CUCAGAUCUAAGUACUUCACUGGAGUAAUGACAGCUGCCAUUAUACUUGUUUUAGUGUUAGAUUUUAGGAUAAAAAUGUUGAAUUAAACUGCUUAUAUGCAGGUGCAAUGAGUUUUAUGUCAAUGCAAAUGUAAUGUAUACAAGUAUAAUGCAUCUAUAAAACCAUGUAAAUUAUUUGGCUAAAGACUGUCCAUUAUUAUUAUUUUUUUUCUUAAAAUGAUAGCUCUGGGCACGGUGUGCCAGAUGCUUCCGGAUAAGCAGAGUUUUGCAUUCAAAUGCAGGAAAAUUAUUUAGUUGACAAAGUGUGAAGUGAAGGUCAAAUUCCUUAGGGAGAAACGUAUUUGCUAAAGAAAAUAAUCAAGGAUUUAUGUACAAUAAAAAAUAGCUCAGGCUCUGCAAAUAAUUUGGAUGAUAAAAUCUUUGCUCAAUUGGAUAAAGGAUCUUUUUGUAUAUUUCCUUUAGUUUUUCUAUCAAGAGUUUAUCAUAGCAAUGACAAACCAAACUGUGUUGCUUGGCCAAAGUAGUCUUAAUACUAAACCCUUUCCUGUCUGGUUUAUGUUAUUUUUAGAAUAACAAUACUAUGCAACAAAAUAUGACUUAGGAAUGGAAUUAUACAUUUGCUUUAUGAUGCAUUUUUUUUCUUGUUUAUUUGUUUGUUUUUAAUUUCAUUAUAGUUUUUUAAGGCAUUAAAGAUUUGUAUUUAUUUAUGUAUUUAUUUUUAAAUUUAAGUUGCUGUACAUAUUUUUAAUACAUAGUGCCAGUCACAGGAUAAAACAGAUGUCAUCCCUCUUAAAAAUAAAGUCUGCUUAACAAUAAGCAUUUAUAAGAUCUCUUUAUCAGAUCUCUAUAAGAUCUUUAUUGUACUGGCUUUCUUGAAGAAUGUGAUUACUUUAUUGUGAUUAACUGACUGCA